This 468-nucleotide ribosomal RNA is filed under the name Vibrio cholerae. RNAcentral describes it as "partial 23S ribosomal RNA". It matches the Rfam family "Bacterial large subunit ribosomal RNA", at positions 493 to 963 of the family's 2925-position model. Lineage: Bacteria; Pseudomonadati; Pseudomonadota; Gammaproteobacteria; Vibrionales; Vibrionaceae. The record is from RNAcentral.
AACCAGUACCGUGAGGGAAAGGCGAAAAGAACCCCUGUGAGGGGAGUGAAAUAGAACCUGAAACCGUGUACGUACAAGCAGUAGGAGCACCUUCGUGGUGUGACUGCGUACCUUUUGUAUAAUGGGUCAGCGACUUAUAUUCAGUGGCAAGGUUAACCGUAUAGGGGAGCCGUAGCGAAAGCGAGUCUUAACUGGGCGCUCAGUCUCUGGAUAUAGACCCGAAACCGGGUGAUCUAGCCAUGGGCAGGUUGAAGGUUGAGUAACAUCAACUGGAGGACCGAACCGACUAAUGUUGAAAAAUUAGCGGAUGACUUGUGGCUAGGGGUGAAAGGCCAAUCAAACUCGGAGAUAGCUGGUUCUCCCCGAAAGCUAUUUAGGUAGCGCCUCGGACGAAUACUACUGGGGGUAGAGCACUGUUAAGGCUAGGGGGUCAUCCCGACUUACCAACCCUUUGCAAACUCCGAAUAC